GGGUUGUGAGGUUAAGCGAACAAGCGUACACGGUGGAUGCCCUGGCAGUCAGAGGCGAUGAAGGACGUGCUAAUCUGCGAAAAGCGCCGGUAAGGUGAUAUGAACCGUUAUAACCGGCGAUGUCCGAAUGGGGAAACCCGGUGCACUUCGGUGCAUCAUCGUUAGCUGAAUACAUAGGCUAACGAGGCGAACCGGGGGAACUGAAAC
This 207-nucleotide ribosomal RNA is filed under the name Cronobacter sakazakii. Its description in RNAcentral is "partial 23S ribosomal RNA". It matches the Rfam family "Bacterial large subunit ribosomal RNA", at positions 1 to 199 of the family's 2925-position model. Lineage: Bacteria; Pseudomonadati; Pseudomonadota; Gammaproteobacteria; Enterobacterales; Enterobacteriaceae. The record is from RNAcentral.